GACGAACGCUGGCGGCGUGCUUAACACAUGCAAGUCGAACGGUAAGGCCCUUCGGGGUACACGAGUGGCGAACGGGUGAGUAACACGUGGGUGAUCUGCCCUGCACUUCGGGAUAAGCCUGGGAAACUGGGUCUAAUACCGGAUAGGACCCUGGGAUGCAUGUCCUGGGGUGGAAAGCUUUUGCGGUGUGGGAUGGGCCCGCGGCCUAGGAGCUUGUUGGUGGGGUGAGGGCCUACCAAGGCGAAGACGGGUAGCCGGCCUGAGAGGGUGACCGGCCACACGGGGACUGAGAUACGGCCCAGACUCCUACGGGAGGCAGCAGUGGGGAAUAUUGCACAAUGGGCGCAAGCCUGAUGCAGCGACGCCGCGUGAGGGAUGACGGCCUUCGGGUUGUAAACCUCUUUCAGCACCGACGAAGCGCAAGUGACGGUAGGUGCAGAAGAAGGGCCGGCCAACUACGUGCCAGCCGCCGCAGUAA
RNAcentral lists this ribosomal RNA (478 nucleotides) under uncultured bacterium. RNAcentral describes it as "partial 16S ribosomal RNA". It matches the Rfam family "Bacterial small subunit ribosomal RNA", at positions 28 to 523 of the family's 1533-position model. The record is from RNAcentral.